UACGUAGGGUGCGAGCGUUAAUCGGAAUUACUGGGCGUAAAGCGUGCGUAGGCGGUCCCGCAAGUCCGCUGUGAAAGCCCCGAGCUUAACUUGGGAACUGCAGUGGAAACUAUGGGACUUGAAUCCGGCAGAGGGGGGUGGAAUGCCACGUGUAGCAGUGAAAUGCGUAGAGAUGUGGAGGAACACCGAUGGCGAAGGCAGCCUCCUGGGCCAGCACUGACGCUCAUGCACGAAAGCGUGGGGAGCAAACAGG
RNAcentral lists this ribosomal RNA (253 nucleotides) under uncultured bacterium. RNAcentral describes it as "partial 16S ribosomal RNA". It matches the Rfam family "Bacterial small subunit ribosomal RNA", at positions 524 to 776 of the family's 1533-position model. The record is from RNAcentral.